GAGGAUGAAGAGACCAGCACUCCCUCUCCACCACACAAGGAUACAGUGAGAAGCCCGCCACUGGCAAUUGGGAAAAGAGCCUGUAGCAGAAUCAGACUAUGCCGGCACCAUGAUCUCAGACUUCCAGCCUCCAGAACCUUCUUUCUUCAGAUAUCUAUCGAAGUUACAGCCAGAUGUCAAUGAGAAGUGCAGUUAUCUCCAGAGUCAUCUGAGUUCUGUGUCCAAGAUGGUGUCUUCAUUCCUGUGUCUGGUGCCCAAGCUUGAAUGGCUGCAAGAACUGGAGGCUGAACAUCUCUUUACACGUGACCUUUCUACGUAGCUUUCCCAUAGGGCUUCCUCAUGUCCGGGUGGUCUUAGAUAACUUCUUACCUGGCAGCUAGCUUUCCCUAAAAUGAAUGUUCCAAAAGACCAAGGUAGAAGCUGUGAGGGUUCUUUCAACCAAGUCAUGGAAAUGCCUUCUUCUGCAAUCUACUGCUCACUAGCUAAUCACAGUCCAGUAAGAAUGAAAGGGAGGUGAUUCCACAGGGCACUGGGAGGGGUGGUCCAUUGGGGUCCAUCUUUGAUGUCAGGUACUGUGUGUAUCUUGACUGGGCCUAAGCAGUUAGUUUCUGGACAUUCACAUAAUACUACCAACCAGUUCUUCACUUUGUAUCUGGAUUUUUUUUUUUUUUAGAUGGAGUUUCGCUCUUGUUACCCAGGCUGGAGUACAAUGGCGUGAUCUCGGCUCACCUGGGUUCAGGCAACUCUCCUACCUCAGCCUCCUGAGUAGCUGGGAUUACAGGCACGUGCCACCAUGCCCAGCUAAUUUUUUUUUUUUUUUGUAUUUUUAGUAGAGAUGGGGUUUCACCACGUUGAACAGGAUGGUCUCGAUCUCUUGACCUCGUGAUCCACCCACCUCGGCCUCCCAAAGUUCUGGGAUUAUAGGCUUGAGCCACCACACCCGGCCUGGAUUGGUUUUUUAAAUGCAUCGCAGUGACCAUGUAACUCAAAGUCUUCACAUCCUUCAGAUGUGGAAUUUGUAAUCCCAUCCUCAUGACACAGUUUUUCGCUAAUCAGAGUUUAAAAAGCUGGGUGUGAUGGUGUGCACCUGUAAUCUCCACUACUCAGGAGGCUGAGGAUUGCCUGAGCCCAGGAGUUGGAGGCUGCAGUGAACUAGGAUUACCUCACUGCACUUCAGACUAGGUGACAGAGUGAGACCCUGCUUUAAAAUAAUAAUAGUAACAAAGAGUUAAGGGACAUGCAUUUGGGAUUCUUAUUAGUUUUAGAAUUCAAAAUGUAUUAAGAGAUAGCCACAGUUUGAGUCCCCUCAGACCAGAACACAGUAGACAGCCUUCUCACAACACUUCCAUUCAGCAUUUGAAGACAGACUGUGGCUGCCAUUCAUACGAGAGAGAGACUGAGAGACAGAGACAGGGUCAGAGAGACAGGAACAGAGAAAGGCAGAGAAACAGAAACAGAGAUAGAAACAGAGAGGCAGAGAGACACAAUUUUCUAUUACGAUGAUGCCAUUCUCAUUCACUUGUACUCUGACAUCCUUGAGGGGUAGAGAAGAAAGUGGUGGAGGCUUGGGGAGCACACAAGCAAUUCACAACCAGCUGAUUUUCCAUGCCCAGCCAGCAGUACGUGGCCACCACUGAGGGAGCAUCACUAGCGGUGAUGAGGAUGCAUCAGUGGGGCUCCAUUGAGCAAACGGUGCUCAAUGGACCACUAUUGAGCAACAUGUUCAUUACAUUUCUGCAAAUAAAUAAAAGUUAAUUAAAUCAGGAAAAACUUAAAAUGAUGGCUUAAUUCAAGUAAAUAUAAUACAUUGUGGUGCCACUGGUAAUUCAUAAUUUUAUUGUUAACUUUAUUGUUACACAUAUUGCUCCUGGAUACAUGUUUAAAUGAAGAAUAAAACCAAGAAUGACUGAAGAAAAACUGAAUCACAGAGUACCUGCAGUCAUUAGAGAUGAGUGAAAAUUCCUGCUUUCCAACAAUCCGUCAGUUAGAUAGUCAGAGUGACAUGAAAGAGAUCUUUGUAAUAGACUUAUUCCUAGCAAAAUGAAACAUCUGAAAAUUGUUGUUAUUUUAAUUCAUGAAAUCACGCAUAUGUUCAUCUUGUAUUAAAGUAGCUUAUUAAAAUAUGC
Molecule: long non-coding RNA, 2126 nt
Organism: Callithrix jacchus (white-tufted-ear marmoset)
Lineage: Eukaryota; Metazoa; Chordata; Mammalia; Primates; Cebidae
Source: Ensembl